Molecule: long non-coding RNA, 1498 nt
Filed under: Homo sapiens (human)
Lineage: Eukaryota; Metazoa; Chordata; Mammalia; Primates; Hominidae
Description: HSALNT0350606
Source: RNAcentral
GCUGGGCAGACAUUGCUCAGAGGAAACUGUGUUUCUAUAGAAAGAGGAGAGAACGGAAAUCAAGGGGACAACCAGCCAUUCUGCCACCCCCCACGCAGGACUUGACAAUCUAGCUCCUGCUGGCAUUGCUGCCUCCCUGCGGAGCCUGUGAGUCUCCAGCGGCUGGUCUGCCUGGUGCCUCCCGGCCCGGUCUUCCACAUGCAGCAGGCCCUCUUCCUGGAGCAGGUUUCAGCUCACACAAAUCUGCACAAACCCUGGUCAUCCUUAAAGCCCAGCUGAAGCACUCUCAUUCCAGGCAGCUGGCCCUAACGCCCUCAUCUGAGAUAGCCACUCCCUGCUCAUGGCUCCUGACAAAUCUUUUCCUUCCUCUGCUCUCGCACAGCUGAACUUCACAAGAACUUGGAGCAUCCCUUUCAAAUGGAAGGGCCGGAUCCUGCAGAUUAGGAGACUGAGUCCCAAAGAGGGGCAGUCGCUUGCCCAAGGCCAUGUGGCUGUUAGUGUUGGAGUCAGAAUUUGAAGCCAGGGAGGCUGAUCUUGGAACACCUGCUGUCAACAGAAACUUCUGACAAAAUACAGAGGACUGCCAUGCCUUCCGGGGUGUUCUCCCAGAGAUGCCCCUUCUGCUAUCCUGCCUGUGCUGCUGCCCUGAUCAUUACUGCAAAUGGCUGGAUUCAUCUUUGUCAAGUUUGCACUUUCACCAAAGUUUGAAUUAACGUCGACAUUAAUUUGCUGAUGAAGCGCCUGCAGUAGGUCAUAUAGCGUGAGCACCUGUGAUUUCCAAGGAAAUUAUUGUAAUGUGCUAAAUGGGAGAUUUAAAGGUUAGUUGUUCCCCUGCAAUCUAUGAACUGUUAUAUGAAAAAGUCAUAACUGAAAUAAUUGAAGUGUCAGAAAGAAAAAAAAGGAUAAGAAAUCCAAUCAACAAUUCUCUUAUCCCUUACCUAUCAUCCUGAUUUUAUUUGGUAUUUUGGCACUGCACCAAUGCUGGAAUAUUGCUGUGGGCAGAGGGUGAGGGGAGGAGGGAGAGAACCUCAGAAGCACAAGUGAUGUAGCUGGGAGCCUGGUUACUAGAGCCUGGUUGUUGGAGCCUGGUUACUGGAGCCUGGUUACUAGAGCCUGGUUAUUGGAGCCUGGUUACUAGAGCCUGGUUAUUGGAGCCUGGUUACUAGAGCCUGGUUAUUGGAGCCUCGUUACUGGAGCCUGAUUACUGGAGCCUGGUUAUUGGAGCUUGGUUAUUGGUGCCUGGGCUCUGGUUUUGUGCAGGCAGUAGGCCCCUUAUCCCUGGAGGUAUUCCGGAGUCCCACGGGUGGUCUCCUGGACGAGGUGCUGUGGUUGGUGACCUGGGAGAUGCCCAAGGUGCUUUCUAGCUUUGAGCUUUUAGGGUUUUGGAGUUUUAGGGUCUGUUCCAGAGAAACAAAGUGGCUUCUCCGUGGCCAACACAGCAACAUCAGCAUGGGGUCCAGGCCUUGGCAAGUCCAGUCCUGGCUCAUUCUGGCUGAGU